Molecule: long non-coding RNA, 360 nt
Organism: Sinocyclocheilus grahami
Lineage: Eukaryota; Metazoa; Chordata; Actinopteri; Cypriniformes; Cyprinidae
Exons: 4
Source: RefSeq, a predicted model, not a curated record
AUCCUCAACGACAAAUAUGAGACGCUUCUGAAGGAGAGAGAGAAGCUGAUAUGUGAGCGCGACACACUGAGAGAGACGACUGAACACCUGAGAUGUGUUCAGGUCCAGCAGCAGUGCUUAACAGCUUCAGGAGCCGUCGGCAGAAAUCAUGCCACCAGAGCUCAGGGAUACGGUUGUGCGUCUGCAGCAGGAGAAUAAGAUGCUGUGUGUUCAGGAGGAGUCAGACAGACACAGACUGGAGGAGCUCCAGACGCUGCUGGAGGAGCCGCAGCGCUACCAGAACACACUCGAGACCCAGAACCGGUGUGUGUGAGAGAGUGAGAGUGUGUGUGUUUGUGUGUGUGUGAGAGAGAGUGUGUG